This 137-nucleotide ribosomal RNA is filed under the name Otolemur garnettii (small-eared galago). The record is from RNAcentral. Lineage: Eukaryota; Metazoa; Chordata; Mammalia; Primates; Galagidae.
AUCUAUAGUCCUGUGACCCUGACUGUGCCAGUCUUUGUCUGACCUCAGAAGCUAAGCAGGGUUAGGCCUGGUUAGUAUUGGGAUGAGACAAAAUUUAGCAGGUUCUUAGAAAGCAAGAAUAAUUAGGCAACUAAAUU